GAUUUUGACAACAAGAAAACAAAGAAUAGUCAGAAAGAUCCUCAAACCAAAAGCCCGCCCAUAGUUAAAGGAGGAACUCUUGUUGUCUGUCCAAUGGCAUUGUUAGGCCAGUGGAAGGUAAGAUUUGAUUUCAUUCCAUAAAAUGUUUACUUCUAAUCCUGUAGUUAAAGUUGGCAUUCUUUUAAUGAUGUAAUUGAAUGAAAAUUUAAAAUAGCGCAUUAUUGUCUGUCCAAUGGCAUUGUUAGGCCAGUGGAAGGUGGCAAAAAUUGAUUCAAAAGCCUUAUGAGAGCGGCAAUGAGAGAGGAUUGAGAUUGGUUAAGGUCAUCCUAAGGAACAGUGGGACCUUGUGUUUUCUCUAGGAGUGGAGCACAUCAUGGAAGAUUUUUUAUUUAUUUUUAUUGUAUUCAUACAAUUGUUGUAAAUAUAUAUAAUUUUUAUUAUAAAGUUGCACCAUAUUUGUUCAAUAUUAAUUUUUAAUUAUAUAUAAUAUUCUUUGGUUUUUAAAUAUAAAAACAAAUGUACAGCUUUUA
Molecule: long non-coding RNA, 530 nt
Organism: Magnolia sinica
Lineage: Eukaryota; Viridiplantae; Streptophyta; Magnoliopsida; Magnoliales; Magnoliaceae
Exons: 2
Source: RefSeq, a predicted model, not a curated record